Molecule: long non-coding RNA, 83 nt
Filed under: Dermacentor andersoni
Lineage: Eukaryota; Metazoa; Arthropoda; Arachnida; Ixodida; Ixodidae
Description: uncharacterized LOC126548189
Source: RNAcentral
UGUUGGCCGAUUCAUUUGGAUUGACAGGAAUGUCAUCAAGUGAACCAAGGUGUGCCGGGAACCAAUAAAUGUAACGUGUAACA